AUACGGAGGAUCCGAGCGUUAUCCGGAUUUAUUGGGUUUAAAGGGAGCGUAGGUGGACAGUUAAGUCAGUUGUGAAAGUUUGCGGCUCAACCGUAAAAUUGCAGUUGAUACUGGCUGGAUUGAGUACAGUAGAGGUGGGCGGAAUUUGUGGUGUACCGGGGUAAUGCUUAGAUAUCACGAAGAACUCCGAUUGCGAAGGCAGCUCACUGGACUGCAACUGGCACUGAUGCUCGAAAGUGUGGGUAUCAAACAGGAUUAGAUACCCUGGUAGUCCACACAGUAAACGAUGAAUACUCGCUGUUUGCGAUAUACAGUAAGCGGCCAAGCGAAAGCAUUAAGUAUUCCACCUGGGGAGUACGCCGGCAACGGUGAAACUCAAAUGAAUUGGCGGGG
RNAcentral lists this ribosomal RNA (393 nucleotides) under uncultured bacterium. RNAcentral's name for it is "partial 16S ribosomal RNA". It matches the Rfam family "Bacterial small subunit ribosomal RNA", at positions 523 to 918 of the family's 1533-position model. The record is from RNAcentral.